RNAcentral lists this long non-coding RNA (209 nucleotides) under Mytilus galloprovincialis (Mediterranean mussel). The record is from RNAcentral. Lineage: Eukaryota; Metazoa; Mollusca; Bivalvia; Mytilida; Mytilidae.
UACUGUAGAUUCAUUAUUAUUCGUUGGAUACCAAUUUUCGUGCAUUUCGUGGGUACAGGUAAACCACGAAAUUCAAUGUUCAACGAAUGAUGAAUUUCCUAAGGUUUUAUAUACAGACUUCAGCAAAACCACUAAAUUAAAUAUCCACGAAUAUGCAAGUUUUCCUUAAUCCACGAAAAUCGGUACCCACGAAAAUUAAUGAAUCCACA